RNAcentral lists this unclassified non-coding RNA (1811 nucleotides) under Hevea brasiliensis (rubber tree). The record is from RNAcentral. Lineage: Eukaryota; Viridiplantae; Streptophyta; Magnoliopsida; Malpighiales; Euphorbiaceae.
UUUUUUUUUUUUAAAAGAAUGUCAAUCUAUUAAGCGGCACAUAAUUUCAUUGAACCGAUGGAAACUGACAUUACUUAUUAAUACAAUUAUAUAAACCAAGGACAUAAUUCCAUAUCUAAGGGUAGAAGACACAAUGCAAAAGUUGAACUGUGAAGGCGAUAAGUGGGUGGGGCCUGAAGAUGCUUGGCCCUAGGAGUCACUAGACUGAACUCCUCAGCCAUAUCCAAAUCGGUUGGUAGCAGUUCAUUUGGAAGCUCCCAAUCGAAGCAAUGCACCAGCUGCGCCAGCACCAAUCGAACCACAGUUAUUCCCAGUUGAAUUCCAGGGCAACCCCUUCGGCCUGACCCAAAUGGAAGAAGCUGAAAGUCCCGUCCUCGAACGUCUACGUUGCACCCAGAAAACCUCUCUGGCCAGAACUUCUCUGCAUCACUCCAAGCAUUUGGAUCUCUUCCAAUUGCCCAUGCGUUUAUAAUAAUAUGUGACUUUUUUGGUAUGAGAAAACCUUCAAUAAUGGUGUCUUCCGUUGCCUCGUGAGGGAGUAGUAAUGGUGCUACUGGAUGGAGUCUGAAAGUUUCCUUUAUAACCAUCUCUAAGUAUUCCAAGCUCUCCAAGUCUGAUUCUUCCACCAUUCUUUCCUUGCCAACCUUCUCUUCCAACUCUUUUUGGACUUUCUUCAUUACUCGAGGGUGUAUUAUGAGUUCUGAUAAUGCCCACUCAAUUACUGCGGCUGAAGUGUCCAUUGAGCCUGCAAGCAUGUCCAAGAUUAUAGCUUUGAUGUUAUCUCUGCCUAUGUGAUAUUCAGACACUUCAGAACCCACGAAGCCCAACAUGACAUCGACGAAGUCUUUUGUUUUUUCGUCCUUCGACUGAAUAUGCUCAUCGAUAAUUUUCUCAAAGAAGUCAUCAAACACCUUGCUAACAGCCUUCAUGCGCUUUGUAAAACCCUGAAGAUCAAGUGCUGCAAUCUGAGGGAUGUAAUCACCCAAGUUAGGAGCUGCUGCUAACAUCAUAGCCUCUUGAAUUACAGCUUUGAAGCCUCUCUCAUCAAACUCUUUGUCCAUAUACUUUUUCCCAAAAACCAUUCUACAACUCAUAUCAGCACUAAGAGACGCGACCUUGGCACUGAGAUCAACAGAAACACGUUGAUGCGAAGCCUCCUUAAUGUGCUCAAUCAAGAGUUCAAGCUCUUCUUUUCUCAUGGAUUUGAAAGAAUUGAUCUUAAGGUUACUGAGCAACUCUAGGGUGCACAUCUUGCGCACAUUACGCCAAUAGGAGCCAUAUGAAGCAAAAGAUAAGUUCUUUUGCUCGUAGGACAUGUACUUGGCAGCCUCAUGAGGAGGCCUACUCGCAAAAUUAAGGUCAUGGAUCUUGAGAAACAAUUCGGCAGCUUUAGGGGAUGAGACAACAAUGGUUGGCAUCAAGCCUAACUGCAGAUGCAUAAUUGGACCAUAUUGUUUGGCUAGUUGAUGUAGAGCUCGGUGAGGGAACUUCCCCAGCAAAUGAAGGCUGCCAAAUAUAGGUAGCCCUCUUGGACCUGGAGGUAGUUUCUUAUCCUUGUUCUUUCUAAUCCACAGCCAUACCAGGAGAACCAACGCAAGGGCAAUAAAUGAUAGAGAAGUCGAAGUUAAAGCCAUGCCAUAUGAGUAGGUGGUGGGGUUCGUCCUUCUAAUAUUUAUAUUCUUAUUACAGCAUCUAGUGAGUCGGGCCGCUUUACAGUAAAUCGAAGACAUAAACAUGUAAGGUUGAACUAUUUAAUAGAUAAGUUUGAUAGUAUAUUUUGUGUAUUAUAUUUAUAAAAAAUUAGAUUUAAA